GUGGGGAAUUUUGGACAAUGGGCGCAAGCCUGAUCCAGCAAUGCCGCGUGCAGGAAGAAGGCCUUCGGGUUGUAAACUGCUUUUGUACGGAACGAAACGGUCCUGGCUAAUACCUGGGGCUAAUGACGGUACCGUAAGAAUAAGCACCGGCUAACUACGUGCCAGCAGCCGCGGUAAUACGUAGGGUGCGAGCGUUAAUCGGAAUUACUGGGCGUAAAGCGUGCGCAGGCGGUGCUGUAAGACAGGCGUGAAAUCCCCGGGCUCAACCUGGGAAUUGCGCUUGUGACUCCAGUGCUGGAGUGCGGCAGAGGGGGAUGGAAUUCCGCGUGUAGCAGUGAAAUGCGUAGAUAUGCAGAGGAACACCGAUGGCGAAGGCAAUCCCCUGGGCCUGCACUGACGCUCAUGCACGAAAGCGUGGGGAGCAAACAGGAUUAGAAACCCCAGUAGUCC
Molecule: ribosomal RNA, 450 nt
Filed under: uncultured bacterium
Lineage: Bacteria
Description: partial 16S ribosomal RNA
Rfam family: Bacterial small subunit ribosomal RNA
Source: RNAcentral